This 518-nucleotide ribosomal RNA is filed under the name Burkholderia sp. Z1S-T1.1. Its description in RNAcentral is "bacterial SSU rRNA". It matches the Rfam family "Bacterial small subunit ribosomal RNA", at positions 34 to 547 of the family's 1533-position model. Lineage: Bacteria; Pseudomonadati; Pseudomonadota; Betaproteobacteria; Burkholderiales; Burkholderiaceae. The record is from RNAcentral.
CGCUGGCGGCAUGCCUUACACAUGCAAGUCGAACGGCAGCACGGACUUCGGUCUGGUGGCGAGUGGCGAACGGGUGAGUAAUACAUCGGAACGUGUCCUGGAGUGGGGGAUAGCCCGGCGAAAGCCGGAUUAAUACCGCAUACGCUCUAUGGAGGAAAGCGGGGGAUCUUCGGACCUCGCGCUCAAGGGGCGGCCGAUGGCAGAUUAGCUAGUUGGUGGGGUAAAGGCCUACCAAGGCGACGAUCUGUAGCUGGUCUGAGAGGACGACCAGCCACACUGGGACUGAGACACGGCCCAGACUCCUACGGGAGGCAGCAGUGGGGAAUUUUGGACAAUGGGCGCAAGCCUGAUCCAGCAAUGCCGCGUGUGUGAAGAAGGCCUUCGGGUUGUAAAGCACUUUUGUCCGGAAAGAAAACCUCGUGGUUAAUACCCGUGGGGGAUGACGGUACCGGAAGAAUAAGCACCGGCUAACUACGUGCCAGCAGCCGCGGUAAUACGUAGGGUGCGAGCGUUAAUCG